GACGGAGGAUGCAAGUGUUAUCCGGAAUCACUGGGCGUAAAGCGUCUGUAGGUGGUCAAAUAAGUCAACUGUUAAAUCUUGAGGCUUAACCUCAAAAUCGCAGUCGAAACUAUUAGACUAGAGUAUAGUAGGGGUAAAGGGAAUUUCCAGUGGAGCGGUGAAGUGCGUAGAGAUUGGAAAGAACACCGAUGGCGAAGGCACUUUACUGGGCUAUUACUAACACUCAGAGACGAAAGCUAGGGUAGCAAAUGGG
This 253-nucleotide ribosomal RNA is filed under the name uncultured bacterium. Its description in RNAcentral is "partial 16S ribosomal RNA". It matches the Rfam family "Bacterial small subunit ribosomal RNA", at positions 524 to 776 of the family's 1533-position model. The record is from RNAcentral.